UACGUAGGGGGCAAGCGUUGUCCGGAAUCAUUGGGCGUAAAGAGCGCGUAGGCGGUCCGGUAAGGCCGCUCUGAAAGUCCGGGGCUCAACCCCGGGAGGCGGGCGGAUACUGUCGGGCUAGAGUCCGGAAGAGGCGAGUGGAAUUCCUGGUGUAGCGGUGGAAUGCGCAGAUAUCAGGAGGAACACCUAUGGCGAAGGCAGCUCUCUGGUACGUGACUGACGCUGAGACGCGAAAGCGUGGGGAGCGAACAGG
This 253-nucleotide ribosomal RNA is filed under the name uncultured bacterium. Its description in RNAcentral is "partial 16S ribosomal RNA". It matches the Rfam family "Bacterial small subunit ribosomal RNA", at positions 524 to 776 of the family's 1533-position model. The record is from RNAcentral.